This 535-nucleotide long non-coding RNA is filed under the name Helianthus annuus (common sunflower). The record is from RNAcentral. Lineage: Eukaryota; Viridiplantae; Streptophyta; Magnoliopsida; Asterales; Asteraceae.
AUGCAUAAGCUGAGCCUGUGAGGCUAUGAUGCAUAAGCUGAGCCUGUCGACUCUAUGAUGCAUAAGCUGAGCUUGUGUUCUUAAUAUGUCUGAACUGAAACUGUUAAGGCUAUGAUGCAUAAGCUGAGCCUGUUACAUAUGUGUUUCUUGUGCUUAAAACACUUGUACAUCAUGCUUUAAAGGUUGUUUAAGUUUAGUGGAAAAUUACUCUUGUUGUGUACUCCGGAUUUUGUAUUCUUAAUCUGUCUGAACUGAAAGUGUUUGAGGCUGUGAUGCGAAAGCUGAGCUUGUGUUCUUAAUCUGUCUGAACUAAAAGUGUUGAGUCUAUGAUGCAUAAGCUGAGCUUGUGUUCUUAAUCUGUCUGAAGUAAAAGUGUUUUGAGGCUGUGAUGCAAAAACUGAGCCUGUGUAAUCUAUCUGAACUGAAAGUGUUUGAGGCUGUGAUGCAAAAGCUGAGCCUGUGCAAGGUUCGCUCGGUCCAACAACUCAAGCAAAUGUUUUCUUUGCAUUUUAGGGGGAACAUGUGUGCUUCUCUC